UGCAAAACCCGCACAAGCGCCUCACGCUCAGCGGCAUCUGCGCCUUCAUUAGUGGCCGCUUCCCCUACUACCGCCGCAAGUUCCCCGCCUGGCAGAACAGCAUCCGCCACAACCUCUCGCUGAACGACUGCUUCGUUAAGAUCCCCCGCGAGCCGGGCCACCCAGGCAAGGGCAACUACUGGAGCCUGGACCCCGCCUCCCAAGACAUG
RNAcentral lists this long non-coding RNA (209 nucleotides) under Homo sapiens (human). RNAcentral's name for it is "long non-coding RNA NONHSAT131726". The record is from RNAcentral. Lineage: Eukaryota; Metazoa; Chordata; Mammalia; Primates; Hominidae.